RNAcentral lists this ribosomal RNA (497 nucleotides) under uncultured bacterium. RNAcentral's name for it is "partial 16S ribosomal RNA". It matches the Rfam family "Bacterial small subunit ribosomal RNA", at positions 28 to 507 of the family's 1533-position model. The record is from RNAcentral.
GAUGAACGCUGGCGGCGUGCCUAAUACAUGCAAGUCGAGCGAACAGACGAGGAGCUUGCUCCUCUGACGUUAGCGGCGGACGGGUGAGUAACACGUGGAUAACCUACCUAUAAGACUGGGAUAACUUCGGGAAACCGGAGCUAAUACCGGAUAAUAUAUUGAACCGCAUGGUUCAAUAGUGAAAGACGGUUUUGCUGUCACUUAUCGAUGGAUCCGCGCCGCAUUAGCUAGUUGGUAAGGUAACGGCUUACCAAGGCGACGAUGCGUAGCCGACCUGCGAGGGUGAUCGGCCACCCGGGAAGGGAGACACGCUCCAGGCUCCUACGGGAGGCAGCAGUAGGGAAUCUUCCGCAAUGGGCGAAAGCCUGACGGAGCAACGCCGCGUGAGUGAUGAAGGUCUUCGGAUCGUAAAACUCUGUUAUUAGGGAAGAACAAAUGUGUAAGUAACUAUGCACGUCUUGACGGUACCUAAUCAGAAAGCCACGGCUAACUACGUG